UUGAAAUGAUGAUCCUUUUCUUUUAUAACAGAAGAGAAUUACUGUUGACUUUAAAACGAGCUUUUUAAUACUGAACAAC
Molecule: small nucleolar RNA, 79 nt
Organism: Cryptotermes secundus
Lineage: Eukaryota; Metazoa; Arthropoda; Insecta; Blattodea; Kalotermitidae
Source: RefSeq, a predicted model, not a curated record